Molecule: small nucleolar RNA, 136 nt
Organism: Neltuma alba
Lineage: Eukaryota; Viridiplantae; Streptophyta; Magnoliopsida; Fabales; Fabaceae
Product: small nucleolar RNA snoR137
Exons: 1
Source: RefSeq, a predicted model, not a curated record
GUUGCUUCUAGUAAUACCAAGUGGCCACUCCACUAGUUGGUCAUCCACAAUUAGAAGCAUAUAGCAAAGAAAAUGCCAGUUUUAAACAGCAUGAUGUUUAUUUCUUGCAUUGUGUUACCUGUCUCCUGGUACAUGU